AAGCGGGUCCUGCGCGAUGAAGCACCGUGAACCAUGUCAGGCGGGGAACCGAGCAGCAUUAAGCGGACCGUUUUAUGUGCCGCAGCAAAGCCUUCUUUU
RNAcentral lists this signal recognition particle RNA (99 nucleotides) under Clostridiales bacterium. RNAcentral describes it as "signal recognition particle sRNA small type". It matches the Rfam family "Bacterial small signal recognition particle RNA". Rfam says of the family: The signal recognition particle (SRP) is a universally conserved ribonucleoprotein involved in the co-translational targeting of proteins to membranes. Lineage: Bacteria; Bacillati; Bacillota; Clostridia; Eubacteriales. The record is from RNAcentral. RNAcentral also lists the same sequence under 1 other name.